Molecule: ribosomal RNA, 463 nt
Filed under: uncultured bacterium
Lineage: Bacteria
Description: partial 16S ribosomal RNA
Rfam family: Bacterial small subunit ribosomal RNA
Source: RNAcentral
GACGAACGCUGGCGGCGUGCUUAACACAUGCAAGUCGUACGGUAAGGCCCUUUCGGGGGUACACGAGUGGCGAACGGGUGAGUAACACGUGAGUAACCUGCCCACAACUUUGGGAUAACGCUAGGAAACUGGUGCUAAUACUGGAUAUGUGCUCCUGCUGCAUGGUGGGGGUUGGAAAGCUCCGGCGGUUGUGGAUGGACUCGCGGCCUAUCAGCUUGUUGGUGGGGUAGUGGCCUACCAAGGCGGCGACGGGUAGCCGGCCUGAGAGGGUGACCGGCCACAUUGGGACUGAGAUACGGCCCAGACUCCUACGGGAGGCAGCAGUGGGGAAUAUUGCACAAUGGGCGCAAGCCUGAUGCAGCAACGCCGCGUGCGGGAUGACGGCCUUCGGGUUGUAAACCGCUUUCAGCAGGGACGAAGCUUUUUGUGACGGUACCUGCGGAAGAAGCACCGGCUAACUACG